RNAcentral lists this ribosomal RNA (292 nucleotides) under uncultured bacterium. Its description in RNAcentral is "partial 16S ribosomal RNA". It matches the Rfam family "Bacterial small subunit ribosomal RNA", at positions 505 to 796 of the family's 1533-position model. The record is from RNAcentral.
GUGUCAGCAGCCGCGGUAAGACAGAGGGUGCAAACGUUGUUCGGAAUCACUGGGCGUAAAGCGCGUGUAGGCUGCUGCGCAAGUCGGAUGUGAAAUCCCACGGCUCAACCAUGGAAGUGCAUUCGAAACUGCGUAGCUAGAGUUUUGGAGAGGAAGGCGGAAUACUCGGUGUAGAGGUGAAAUUCGUAGAUAUCGAGUGGAACACCGGUGGCGAAGGCGGCCUUCUGGACAAUGACUGACGCUGAAACGCGAAAGCGUGGGGAGCAAACAGGAUUAGAUACCCUGGUAGUCC